RNAcentral lists this transfer RNA (72 nucleotides) under bacterium. Its description in RNAcentral is "tRNA-Arg". It matches the Rfam family "tRNA". From Rfam's summary of the family: Transfer RNA (tRNA) molecules are approximately 80 nucleotides in length. Their secondary structure includes four short double-helical elements and three loops (D, anti-codon, and T loops). Further hydrogen bonds mediate the characteristic L-shaped molecular structure. tRNAs have two regions of fundamental functional importance: the anti-codon, which is responsible for specific mRNA codon recognition, and the 3' end, to which the tRNAs corresponding amino acid is attached (by aminoacyl-tRNA synthetases). tRNAs cope with the degeneracy of the genetic code in two manners: having more than one tRNA (with a specific anti-codon) for a particular amino acid; and 'wobble' base-pairing, i.e. permitting non-standard base-pairing at the 3rd anti-codon position. The record is from RNAcentral.
GUCCCCAUAGUUUAAUGGAUAGAGCACGGCCCUCCGAAGGCCGGGAUGGAAGUUCGACUCUUCCUGGGGGCA